UUUAGCUGACGGCGUACGUCUAUGACAAGGGCGAACCCACGAGUUCUUCGUCCAUCCAAGUGACCAUCCUGGUAAACCGUGUGAAUGCAACAACUAAACAGGUUACGGAAUAUAUUCCCCCCUCCACUACUCCUAACAUUUUAAGAGACAAUACAAGACCGCUGUGGGAUCACCCAGAGUGUUUUAAAUGUUUUGCUCCGCUCUAUACUGCUAAGAUCAUGGAUACAUAUAAGGAUAUUAUCCUCUUUGUAUACCCAACACGGAUACAGGCUAUUGAUCCGGAUCAAACAGAAAUAAAGCUUCUAUACAGUAUAGAUUCGGGUA
Dreissena polymorpha is the source of this 324-nucleotide long non-coding RNA. RefSeq lists it as uncharacterized. The transcript is spliced from 3 exons. The record is from RefSeq and is a predicted model, not a curated record. Lineage: Eukaryota; Metazoa; Mollusca; Bivalvia; Myida; Dreissenidae.